Molecule: ribosomal RNA, 126 nt
Filed under: Omalotheca sylvatica
Lineage: Eukaryota; Viridiplantae; Streptophyta; Magnoliopsida; Asterales; Asteraceae
Description: partial 5.8S ribosomal RNA
Rfam family: 5.8S ribosomal RNA
About the family: 5.8S ribosomal RNA (5.8S rRNA) is a component of the large subunit of the eukaryotic ribosome. It is transcribed by RNA polymerase I as part of the 45S precursor that also contains 18S and 28S rRNA.
Source: RNAcentral
UCGAUAAGAACGCAGCAAAAUGCGAUACUUGGUGUGAAUUGCAGAAUCCCGUGAACCAUCGAGUUUUUGAACGCAAGUUGCGCCCGAAGCCAUUUGGUUGAGGGCACGUCUGCCUGGGCGUCACGC